GGAACUGUGUGGUGUAGUGGUUUGAGCAUUAGGCUAGGAAUCUGAAGGCCAGGGUUCAAAUCCCUGCUUGGCCA
Non-coding RNA from Phrynosoma platyrhinos (Desert horned lizard), 74 nucleotides. NCBI's taxonomy places the organism in Eukaryota, Metazoa, Chordata, Lepidosauria, Squamata, Phrynosomatidae. The record is from the annotation of a GenBank genome assembly.